Halenospora varia is the source of this 97-nucleotide non-coding RNA. NCBI's taxonomy places the organism in Eukaryota, Fungi, Ascomycota, Leotiomycetes, Helotiales, Solenopeziaceae. The record is from the annotation of a GenBank genome assembly.
GCGUUUGUGGUUUAGUGGUAAAAUCCAUCGUUGCCAAAAGAUGUCUAACAACAUCUCCAGCAUCGAUGGGCCCCGGGUUCGAUUCCCGGCGAACGCA